UGGGGCAACUUUUUUCCAUUAUUUUUUCACUGCGAAAACAGUAAAGUCAAUGUUACGUGGAUGGAAUUAAAAAACCACGGGAAAUAAUACAUUUAUUUUUGAAGUUAAUAGGGAAAUGAAUGACAUCAGUCAUCAAGCUCGAUCUUGAUAUCAUGAAUGGUAAUGGCGUCGCCGGCGUUGGUGGGGACCAAAGUGACCAAGACGUGUUCAUCAUCCUCGGCGUCGAGGUCUUCCAAAAUGUCCGAGAUCGACAACCUCAGCUGCGUCUUAAUCUUCUUAUCAUGCUUAUGUUUGUGCGGCACGUUCACGAAGCUUCCGGCGAACUCCGUGUUCUCCGCCGUCGUGAUCUCGUCGUCCUCGUCGUUGAUGUACACGUCGAACUUCACGUAAGUAUCACGAUCAACUUCAAUCCCUUUGAUCACCAAGAUCUCCUCCAGCUCAUCCUUCUCCUUCUUGCUCCUCUUCUUCUUCGGCCUCUUCACCAUCACCUUCAAAACCCGGUCCAAUUUCGCCGGAACACCUCCCUAGGGCUCUGCGCGUCCGCCGCCUUCGCUCUCCCCAGCUUCUUCAGCUUCCUCAACACCGAAGAAACCCGCGGCGUCGGGCGGCUGUGUUGAGAAUAAGACACCANUAGCCUUGCCACCGAGCAUGUUUCAUCCACUCCAGAACAAUCUAGUCCGCUGCAUGAGCCUAUAUCUUCUCCGCCACUGAUAUCUGAGGUAAGAUCUUCUGAACCUACUAUUGUGGCUUCUGAUUCUGCUGAUAAUAUUCUCAAGUCAUUGAAGAAGAACAGGAGAUAAUACAGUAGAUGGAGAUACUGGAAGAUAUGUGCUACCACCCAGGAGCAAUCGGGGUGUACCUCCUAAACGGUAUACCCCAGAGAAAAUUACGAGGAAUUCCCGAUACUCAAUUGGGAAUAUCGCCAAGGGAAACUUGUCCAAAAAUGCCACAGCCUAUGAAGCGGCCUUAUAUGAUGAGGAGAUUCCACAACAGCAGAGCAAGCCCUGAAGAUCGAGCAUUGGAGAAAUGCUAUGAAGAAAGAGAUAGGAGCCCUAAACCGAAACCACACAUGGGAGAAGUGUAGACUACCAAAAGGAAGAAAACUAUAGGAUGCAGAUGGGUUUCACAAUCAAAAGAAAACCCGAUGGAUCUAUUGAACGAUACAAAGCUCGACUGGUCGCAAAAGGAUACACACAAACAUAUGGAAUCGACUAUGAAGAAACCUUCUCACCUGUUGCAAAAAUGAACACUGUCAGAGUGCUCAUCUCAAUUGCUGCAAACAAGGACUGGGAUCUUCAUCAAUUCGAUGUUACAAAUGCAUUCCUACAUGGAGAGCUUGAAGAAGAAAGAGAAGUAUACAUGGAAGCACCCCAAGGCUUCUCAGAAGAGUUCGAAGAGGGGAAGUAUGCAAAUUGAAAAAAACCUUAUAUGGGCUCAAACAGUCUCCCAGAGCUUGGUUUGGAAGAUUCACCACAGCCAUGAAGAAGUUCGGGUACCAGCAAAGCAACUCAGACCACACCUUAUUCUUAAAGAAACGAGGUGAUCUAAUCUCUUGCUUAGUCAUUUACGUUGAUGACAUGAUCAUAACAGGAGAUGACACAGAAGAAAUUCAAAAGUUAAAGAAAGCUUUUCAAAGAGUUCGAAAUGAAGGACCUAGGAAAACUAAAAUACUUCCUCGGAAUCGAAGUACUCAGAUCAAAGAAAGGAAUCUUCAUCAACCAGAAGAAGUAUACUCUAGACCUCCUAGCGGAAACAGGGAUGCUAGAUUGCAAGCCAGCAGAAACGCCUAUGACCGUAAAUCAUGGGCUACAAAUUGUGAAAGGAGCUCAAUUAGCCGAUCGAGGAAAAUAUCAACGUCUGGUAGGAAAACUCAUCUAUCUUUCCCAUACUCGGCCUGAUAUUGCGUAUGCUGUUGGAGUUGUGAGUCAGUUUAUGCACCAACCACAAGCUGACCACAUGGAAGCUGCGCUUAGAAUUGUGAGAUAUUUGAAGAAGACUUUUGACUAUGGAGUGCUGUUCAAAAAGAUCUGGACACCUUGAGAUACAAGCUUACACUGAUGCUGACUGGGCAGGAAACCCGAAUGACAGAAAGUCAACAGCUGGAUACUUUGCAUCUGUGGGAGGAAAUCUUGUCUCAUGGAGAAGCAAGAAACAAAAGGUGGUUGCUCUCUCAAGUGCAGAAUCAGAAUUCAGAGGGAUCAAGAGUGGGUUAACUGAAGUCCUUUGGCUAAGAAGAUUGUUGAUGGAAUUAGGCCUUCACCCAACAAAGACGUGCAAAUUGUACUGCGACAACAAGGCUGCCAUCAGCAUAUCCGAGAACCCAGUUCAACAUGAUAGAACUAAACAUGUCGAAGUGGAUAGGCACUUUAUCAAGGAGAAGAUUGAAGAAAAGAUUGUGGAGCUCCCGUUUGUGAGAUCCGAAGAUCAGCUCGCUGAUAUCUUAACCAAGGCUGUGGACUUCAAAAGUUUUUCAGAAGUUCUUUCCAAGUUGAGCAUCGGAAAUCCUGUCACUCAACUUGAGGGGGAGUGUUGAGAAUAAGACACCAAAGUCCGUAAAAGCAGCAGGAAAACAAGGAUCCCUUAAAGCAGCAGGAAAACAAGGAUCCCUUAAUCAAGGAAUCCUUAUAUGACUUUGUAUCAGCAAUAUUAAAUAUCAUCUCCCAUCAAACACUAUAAAUGGGAGAAGUGUAUCAGUAGGAAAAAAUACAACAAGCAAUACAACAACAAUUAUCAAUCUUCUCUUUUCUCUGCAUUAUGAUAAAUACCAUGUGUUAACAGGCUGUUGGCCCAUGGAAUCUCCACAUCUUGAUAGGCAUACCCGAGUUUCCUCGGGUCCAAACAGUCCCUUACCUUGACCCGAACCAUUUUCGCGUUCUCGUCGUAGAAAAGGAACGCCGCGUCGAGGAAAUCAGGAUCCGUUAUGUCCU
RNAcentral lists this long non-coding RNA (2927 nucleotides) under Salvia miltiorrhiza (redroot sage). RNAcentral describes it as "long non-coding RNA (SMIL_LNC007584)". The record is from RNAcentral. Lineage: Eukaryota; Viridiplantae; Streptophyta; Magnoliopsida; Lamiales; Lamiaceae.